RNAcentral lists this ribosomal RNA (467 nucleotides) under uncultured bacterium. RNAcentral's name for it is "partial 16S ribosomal RNA". It matches the Rfam family "Bacterial small subunit ribosomal RNA", at positions 29 to 507 of the family's 1533-position model. The record is from RNAcentral.
ACGCACGCUGGCGGCGUGCUUAACACAUGCAAGUCGAACGGAAAGGCCCUGCUUUUGUGGGGUGCUCGCGUGGCGAACGGGUGAGUAACACGUGAGUAACCUGCCCUUGACUUUGGGAUAACUUCAGGAAACUGGGGCUAAUACCGGAUAGGAGCUCCUGCUGCAUGGUGGGGGUUGGAAAGUUUCGGCGGUUGGGGAUGGACUCGCGGCUUAUCAGCUUGUUGGUGGGGUAGUGGCUUACCAAGGCUUUGACGGGUAGCCGGCCUGAGGGGGUGACCGGCCACAUUGGGACUGAGAUACGGCCCAGACUCCUACGGGAGGCAGCAGUGGGGAAUAUUGCACAAUGGGCGGAAGCCUGAUGCAGCAACGCCGCGUGCGGGAUGACGGCCUUCGGGUUGUAAACCGCUUUCGCCUGUGACGAAGCGUGAGUGACGGUAAUGGGUAAAGAAGCACCGGCUAACUACGUG